This 1285-nucleotide long non-coding RNA is filed under the name Bos indicus x Bos taurus (hybrid cattle). RNAcentral's name for it is "lncRNA (ENSBIXG00000022546.1)". The record is from RNAcentral. Lineage: Eukaryota; Metazoa; Chordata; Mammalia; Artiodactyla; Bovidae.
AUGAACGGAACAAAAAGGGCUGCGGAGGGAGCCGUUCAGGCCGAACGGAAGCUCGGGUGUAGGAGACAGGAGACGGGUCUGCAUCUGGGGAACCUGCCUAAGACAGAAGGUGCCAUAAGUAGUCCCAGGAAGCUGGCGAAGACAGGAUUCUGGGUGCAGCUCAUUUACCAGCAAGAUGGAAGAUGGGGACCCCCAUCUGUGGUGGUAGGUGGCCUUCUGUACCUUUUUUCUCUGUUUGUUAGAAAAUCAGCAUACCUUUAUUUGAUAAGAGAAAACUGCAUAUAAUAAUUUAUCUCAUUUAUCUAAUUUAUCUCAUAUAAUAAUUCAUCUCAUCUCACUUACAUUUAAGGACAUUUGUGGGCUUCCCAGGGGGCGCUAGUGGUAAAGAACCAGGCUGCCAAUGCAGGAGACCUAAGAAACAAGGGUUCGAUCCCCGGAGUCAGGAAGAUCCCCUGGAGGAGUGCUUAGCAACCCACUCUGGUGCUCUUGUCUGGAGAAUCCCAGGGACAGAGGAGCCUGGCGGGCUACAGUCCCUGGGGUCACACAGAAUCGGAGACGACGGUAGUGACAGCUCAGCACAGCAAGGACGGAUAUACAAACAAGCCUGUAGGUAGCCGCAGAGCAUGACGAAGCGUCAAGAAAACGAAUUCUCAUGUAUCGAGUGUUCAUUGUGGCGCUCUAUGCCUGCAUCACUCAGUUACUAAGACUCACUCCUGCUGAGCAGUGACGGGAUAGCUGAAAGUCGUUGUCCUGGCUUGUGCAGUAUCUCUAGCUUUUGAGAAAUGACAAUCCUAAGGACUAUGUAAUCAGGUGGCAUUGCGCUUGAGCAGAUCCAGAGCACACUAGUAAACUGCACAGAGUAGGAACCAGAGUCUGCAGUUAUCCACCAACCAAGACAUCUUCAUCAGCUCACACCUAGGCCCUCAUGGACGGGGCUCCCCAUGACCAGCCGAUAGAGGAAAGAUCCCCAGUUUGAUUCACUAAUGGACUGACUCAGCACUGUCAGCUCAGUUCACUUCAGUUGCCCAGCUGUGUCUGACUCUUUGCGACCCCAUGGACGGCACACACCAGGCCUCCCUGUCCACCACCAGCUCCCGGAGCUUGUUUAAACUCAUGUCCAUCGAGUCGGUGAUGGAUCACCGACUCAGUCCUGUACAUUGGCAUCAACCGAAAAUGGCCAGCUGCACUGGAGUCCCCCCCAGAGGUGGCUCUGAUGAGACCAAUGAGGAUUAAUCUUUGUAAUAGGCAGAGCUCUGGGCAUUGGACCUGGUGAUCCAAUCUGUGU